UAAGUACAUAAGUAACCUGCCUAGACAGGGGAUAACUAUUGGAAACGAUAGCUAAGACCGCAUAGGUACGGACACUGCAUGGUGACCGUAUUAAAAGUAGCCUUCAAAGCACUGGUAGAGGAUGGACUUAUGGCGCAUUAGCUGGUUGGCGGGGUAACGGCCCACCAAGGCGACGAUGCGUAGCCGACCUGAGAGGGUGACCGGCCACACUGAGACUGAGACACGGCCCAG
RNAcentral lists this ribosomal RNA (231 nucleotides) under uncultured bacterium. Its description in RNAcentral is "partial 16S ribosomal RNA". It matches the Rfam family "Bacterial small subunit ribosomal RNA", at positions 110 to 334 of the family's 1533-position model. The record is from RNAcentral.